Molecule: non-coding RNA, 443 nt
Organism: Chrysemys picta bellii (western painted turtle)
Lineage: Eukaryota; Metazoa; Chordata; Testudines; Emydidae
Source: RefSeq, a predicted model, not a curated record
GUGUCAGGGCCCGGCAGACUGUGGACCCCACGCAAACUGCAUCAAUGUGCCCGGGAGUUACUCCUGCACCUGCAUCGAUGGCUACAAGUCCAGCUCUGGGAAAGCCACCUUCACGCACGCGAGUGGGGACACCUGCCAGGAUAUUGACGAGUGUCAGGGCCCGAGCCCGGCAGACUGCGGACCCCACGCAAACUGCACCAACGUGCCUGGGAAUUACUACUGCACCUGCAUUGAUGGCUACGAGCUCAGCUCUGGGAAAGCCAAAUUCACGCACGCGAGUGAGAACACCUGCCAGGAUAUUGACGAGUGUCAGGGCCCGAACCCGGCAGACUGUGGACCCCACGCAAACUGCACCAACGUGCCUGGGAAUUACUCCUGCACCUGCAUCAAUGGCUACAAGCCCACAUCUGGGAAAGCCAACUUCACCCACGCGAGUGAGAACA